AUGGGUGGCCUGGCAUGCCCUGCUGCCGCAUCCGGACGACUACCGCGACGGUGCCCUAGGUUCUGGCCUCCCGCACGACGGCGCUGGAGGUGGUUCCCUCCCGUUCGGCUUCGGUGCCGCUUCUCCCUCCUCGCGGCGCUUCUCUCCGGUUCUCUUGGCCUCGUGUUGGUGUUUGCAGUGAGGCGGCGUGGGUGGCGGCGCAACCGCGAUGGCGCAUGGUGGAGGGCGGCGGUCUGGCUGGUCGGCUCCGGUCCAUUGGGCGGUGGGGUUGGAGUGCGGGAGAAAUCAUUGCUGGUUCUCCGGCUCUGA
This 309-nucleotide ribosomal RNA is filed under the name Triticum aestivum (bread wheat). Its description in RNAcentral is "partial small subunit ribosomal RNA". Lineage: Eukaryota; Viridiplantae; Streptophyta; Magnoliopsida; Poales; Poaceae. The record is from RNAcentral.